GUAGCAAUACCCACCGGCGAACGGGUUGCGUAACACGUGAGCAACAUUCCGAUUUCUGGGGGAUAGCCGGCCCAACGGCCGGGUAAUACCGCAUACGCUCAUUGAGAGGAGUCUCUCGAUGAGGAAACCUCCGGGGGAAAUCGAGUGGCUCGCGGCCUAUCAGCUAGUUGGCGGGGUAAUGGCCCACCAAGGCAAUGACGGGUAGCUGGUCUGAGAGGAUGGCCAGCCACAUUGGGACUGAGAAACGGCCCAGACUCCUACGGGAGGCAGCAGUGGGGAAUCUUGCGCAAUGGACGAAAGUCUGACGCAGCGACGCCGCGUGAGGGAGGAAGCUCUUCGGGGUGUAAACCUCUGUUGCCGGGAACGAAACUCUGGAUUCGUCCAGAUUGACGGUACUCGGUGAGGAAGCGCCGGCUAACUCUGUGCCAGCAGCCGCGGUAAUACAGAGGGCGCGAGCGUUGUCCGGAAUCACUGGGCGUAAAGGGCGCGUAGGUGGCCACUAUAAGGCCGCGGUGAAAGUUCGGGGCUCAACCCUGAAUCUGCCGCGGCGACUGUAGGGCUUGGGCACUGUAGAGGCAGAUGGAAUUCCGGGUGUAGCGGUGGAAUGCGUAGAGAUCCGGAAGAACACCGGUGGCGAAGGCGGUCUGCUGGGCAGUGGGAGCGCAAGCUCCUCUUAGCCGACACUGAGGCGCGACAGCGUGGGGAGCAAACAGGAUUAGAUACCCUGGUAGUCCACGCCGUAAACGAUGGGCACUAGGUGCUUUGGGGAGCGACCCUCAGGGUACCGGCGCUAACGCAUGAAGUGCCCCGCCUGGGGAGUACGGCCGCAAGGCUGAAACUCAAAGGAAUUGACGGGGGCCCGCACAAGCGGUGGAGCAUGUGGUUUAAUUCGACGCACC
Molecule: ribosomal RNA, 899 nt
Filed under: uncultured Gemmatimonadota bacterium
Lineage: Bacteria; Pseudomonadati; Gemmatimonadota
Description: bacterial SSU rRNA
Rfam family: Bacterial small subunit ribosomal RNA
Source: RNAcentral